UCGGGAAUUUUGGACAAUGGGGGCAACCCUGAUCCAGCCAUGCCGCGUGAGUGAAGAAGGCCUUCGGGUUGUAAAGCUCUUUCGGACGGAACGAAAUGGUUACGGAUAAUACCUGUGACUGGUGACGGUACUGUAAGAAGAAGCACCGGCUAACUACGUGCCAGCAGCCGCGGUAAUACGUAGGGUGCGAGCGUUAAUCGGAAUUACUGGGCGUAAAGCGUGCGCAGGCGAUUAUGCAAGACAGAUGUGAAAUCCCCGGGCUCAACCUGGGAACUGCAUUUGUGACUGUAUAGCUAGAGUACGGUAGAGGGGGAUGGAAUUCCGCGUGUAGCAGUGAAAUGCGUAGAUAUGCGGAGGAACACCGAUGGCGAAGGCAAUCCCCUGGACCUGUACUGACGCUCAUGCACGAAAGCGUGGGGAGCAAACAGGAUUAGAUACCCCCGUAGUCCCUGAGCGGGCUGGCAAGGCGCAU
RNAcentral lists this ribosomal RNA (472 nucleotides) under uncultured bacterium. RNAcentral describes it as "bacterial SSU rRNA". It matches the Rfam family "Bacterial small subunit ribosomal RNA", at positions 355 to 825 of the family's 1533-position model. The record is from RNAcentral.